Molecule: ribosomal RNA, 454 nt
Filed under: uncultured bacterium
Lineage: Bacteria
Description: bacterial SSU rRNA
Rfam family: Bacterial small subunit ribosomal RNA
Source: RNAcentral
GACGAACGCUGGCGGCGUGCUUAACACAUGCAAGUCGAACGAGACGAUUGAAAGCUUGCUUUUGAAAGUCGAGUGGCAAACGGGUGAGUAACGCGUAGGCAACCUGCCUUCGAGAUGGGGACAACAGUCCGAAAGGACUGCUAAUACCGAAUGUUGUGACGGAACCACAUGGAUUUGUCAUGAAAGAUGGCCUCUAUUUAUAAGCUAUCGCUCGAAGAUGGGCCUGCGUCUGAUUAGCUAGUUGGUGGGGCAACGGCCUACCAAGGCGACGAUCAGUAGCCGGUCUGAGAGGAUGAACGGCCACAUUGGAACUGAGACACGGUCCAGACUCCUACGGGAGCAGCAGUGGGAAUCUCGCAAUGGCGAAAAGCCUGACGAGCAACGCCGCGUGAGUGAUGACGGCCUCGGUGUAAGACGUCUGUGAUCGGGGACGAACGGGUACCGAGCAGACGAA